GUGCCAGCCGCCGCGGUAAUACCGGCAGCACGAGUGAUGGCCGAUAUUAUUGGGCCUAAAGCGUCCGUAGCUUGCUGUGUAAGUCCAUUGGGAAAUCCACGCGCUCAACGCGUGGGCGUCCGGUGGAAACUACACGGCUUGGGACCGGAAGGCUCGAAGGGUACGUGCGGGGUAGGAGUGAAAUCCUAUAAUCCCGCACGGACCACCGAUGGCGAAAGCACUUCGAGAAAACGGAUCCGACAGUGAGGGACGAAAGCCAGGGUCUCCAACCGGAUUAGAUACCCCGGUAGUCC
RNAcentral lists this ribosomal RNA (293 nucleotides) under uncultured bacterium. Its description in RNAcentral is "partial 16S ribosomal RNA". It matches the Rfam family "Archaeal small subunit ribosomal RNA", at positions 455 to 747 of the family's 1478-position model. The record is from RNAcentral.